CCACCCCCGACCCCUCCUCUCUCACCCACCACACAUGUUGCGCCGCCGCCGCCGUUGUUUCGUUCGGCACGCACCUCCUCACGGCGCAGUCCUCGGCCGCCCCGUGGGAACGCCGCCUCCGUCUCCGUCUAGCCGUCGAUAACCUCCUUCUUGUAUCUUCCGUCGGAAAGGUGCAACAGGGAUCAUCUCUUUCUUGGGCGGCCACGAGCUCCAUCCCCAGAUCGGUGGCAGACCCAGAAGCAUGUAUCCGAUUUUUCUGGAGUCCGUGGGCGAACCGCCGCCAGAUCCUCCCCGCUCCAGAUCUGGUCGGAGGUACGCGCGGACGUCGGGGCAGUUUCAGUUGGGGAGUCUCGGUUGGGAGGGGCUCAGGGCAGGUAUCGUUUCAAGGGGCUCGAAUGGCUGUUAGACAGAAUUUUUUAGCCAUCGAAUUAUUAUUGCACUUGCGAGUCAAAAUGUGCAGAAAGAUGAAUCAAAGACCACCACAGCAUCGACACAUUAACAUUGUUCUGGCUCCUCUCAUUUUCUUUCUUUCUGAAUCCCUCAAUCCAUCAGAGGAGCUCAAGUCCAAGUAGAGGCAGCUCAUGGACUUCUGAACAAAGACAAGGAACAAAGAAUCCCCCAAUGAGCAAAGAAUCCCCCAAUGCCCAAAGAUGUGUAUGUUACUUCGCAACUAGCACGCAAAGAACGUCAACCUUGAAACCUAAAGCGCUUUCUGCUUAGAGAACUACUGACUGAAACAGAGAAUUUCUGCAGCAGCACCAUUAUAUGGAGAAGUGUUGUUUUUUAAUGUUUACCAGGGGAAUCUACAUAUCACUAUCCAAGAAUGACUUCAUGUUCUGGUAUUCUUUUUUGGUUAUGUCUUGGGAUCAUACACAUUGAGCGGUCUGGGGAGUAUAUAUCUUUUCCAAAAAGCAAAGUAAAAUUCAAGGACAAAAGAUUUAAAGUAUAAUCGUUCUUCAGGUGUCCGCUAGAUGUGAAUGGUAACUUGGUAAGUAUUUUUUGUCUGCAGUUAUAACACAACACAACCACUUGCCUUUUUAGAAUCAUAGACAUCACAAAGCAAUAAUUCUGACAUUUUCACAAUAGUUGAUGUCCCUUCUUAGCUUUACAAAUAUAUAUUUCCUUGAAUAAAAAUAAAUAAAUAUAUGGUAAUUUGAAACAGGUCCAUCGCACAGGAGGCACUACACCUAGCAAUCUUAUUCCCAUAGAUUCAAGAGAUGUUUGAAAAACGUGAUAUACUACUUUUUCAAUUGUUUCUCCUAUUUAUUCAGGUUUAGUAACUACACGACUGAGUUCAAGAGUUAUACAUCUUGAAACAGUUCACUGACGGUUGACUGUGAAUCUGCAGGUGAUGAUUGUAUAGACGUGUGCAGAUUUGAUAUUGACAAUUUCUCUACCCAAAUGUUUCAUAGGAGUUUAAUGGUGCACUAUCUGAAUUAUGAAUCUGUGUGCAUCAUUGCACUGAGCAGAAAAUAAACUGUUGAAAACUAUUUGAUCGAUCAGUUGAAUAUAUAUUGGAAAUUAAAUUUGUGGAAUUUGUUGUUAUAAAAUAUAUAGUACGUAAUGCCAGUUUAAAACUAAAAUAAAACCCCUUCAUAGAUUUGCACCUAUUCCUAACUUUUUUGGGGGGACAUCUAUCGCUAACAUUACAUUGCAAAAAUGGAGGGGGCGCAGCUGCAGUCUGCACCGGAAUCGUGAUAAGAAACCCAACCUUUUGAAUCGUGAUAACAAGCAGUUGAUUUCUUUUGCUGAAAAUAUAUAUGAGCUGUGUGCAGAUUGUAUUCGUCUGCAAUCAGUUGCUUUGUCAAUAUGGAGUAGUCACAUCUUACCAGUGCACUCUCCAAUUCCCCAUUGUUGUCUCAACCUGUAAUUCCAUACCCUCUAAUAUAAUCGUCUUUGCUUCAGUGUACCCUGGAUUCGAACCAAAUCAUAUACCCACCAUGUGCUUCUAAUUGGGACUCUUGACACCUAACUUGCUGACUUCAACAUUCGAAUUGUAAUGAUGAGUAAGGAAUCAAGUAUCUAGAUCAUUUGUAUCACUUCUUAGAGAAUUAACCUAGCCAGCAUAAACACCAAAUAUUUACGUCCAGUAGUAUACUUAUGUUAAGUUCAACAUGGUUUAAAUUCACCAAAGUGCAGGUAGCUCUCACCAUCAACAUCACAUGGGACAAGUAUAAAUGCAAUCUGUAGUCAAUAAUGUUAUUGUUCAGUAGUUUGCUGCCUAAUCGUGAUAGUUUUCUUAGAACAUUGUUGUACCUUCAGAUUAGAAUAACUUUCUUAUAUCGACAAUUUGGUUCAGCCUGCAACUUCAUUGUUGUAUGCAUGGGGUAGAAGAAGCAAACACGCGGUCUACUCCAUCUAGCACCUCAACGAGAAACCACAGCGCAGACCACCCCUUGCAGGCUUCACAUCACGCACAAGAACGUUGCGAAUUUGGGCGGACAUACUAGCCUUACUACUCGAGUACUUGUUGGUCCGCCACAGAGGUAUGUGCUGGAAUCGGGGAAUAAUUACCUGUCAUGGCUAUAGUGACAUAUAUCUCUUGCCUUUAUUGUUCGCGCUUCUGCUAGUUCUGGUUGGUUUGAAAAGAUGCACAUGAACGGGGUUUUGUAAUGCAGCAGCUCCCGCUCCAAGUUGGCCACAAAACCCCAGGAGCAUGUUGAGGGCAUAAGGCAAGCAGAAUAACAAGAAAUCCGCCAAACAUUGUGUGUUCAACUUCGUUUUUGGUUCUGGGGAUUGCCUCUUCGUUGGCCUCCAGGUAUUUUAGUCUCAGCAAGGAUAUUUAGCUUAUUGUGCAAUAACCACCCACUUGGAUGGAACGACCUGGCAUAAUUUGACUGCAAAAAUGCAACACAACAAUAAGGAUUAAAGUCCAUGUUAUGUUAUUUUGAUAGAGUAAGUGGCUCCUUUCAUUCAAUCAAAAAAUAAAGAUACAUGGAGGUCUGCAAGUAUUUGAUAACUUUGGCUUUCUAUUCUUUUAGCAUUUUGUGUUUGGUACAAAUUUUCCUGCAUACUUAAAAGACUCAAGGUUGUGUUUUUGGGCUGAGUUUGACAGUAGUCUGUGCAUGGUAGUCAAAUUAUUUACAUUUUUAGUAAGAGUUUAUAACUUAGCUGUCAUGAGAAAUACGACACGUUUUGCAGUGGGGGUGCUGAAGUAUUCUGAGGCAAUCUUUGAUAGGAGUUGAUGUAUUGUUUUUCUUUUACUUGAUUUAGCGAAUUUCAAAAUUCUAUGCAAAUUUUAUAACUCACCUAUGUAUUGUUCAGAAGAUUACCCACACCAAUGUUGUGAUGCUAAUCUGCCUACAUGUAGGUGAUGACUUCCAUAGAUAAGAAUCGGUCUCCUUGUACUUUAACAGCUAAGUGUUGUAAAUUGGAUUCUAUUAUAUGUUGCCACAACUUUUCCAUAGUUGUUGGUAUAUGGCAAUGCUUGGCAUGAUGAGGUUCUGCUUAGUAAGCUUGCUUUUGUGUAACUCUUUCCUCAAAAAUAUGUGAUUGUGUGGUCGAAUUAAAUUCCCC
RNAcentral lists this ribosomal RNA (3516 nucleotides) under Triticum aestivum (bread wheat). RNAcentral describes it as "partial small subunit ribosomal RNA". Lineage: Eukaryota; Viridiplantae; Streptophyta; Magnoliopsida; Poales; Poaceae. The record is from RNAcentral.